CAGGGGAUCGUAAGACCUUGCACUUUUGGAGCGGCCGAUGUCUGAUUAGCUAGUUGGUGGGGUAAUGGCCUACCAAAGCUUCGAUCAGUAGCUGGUCUGAGAGGACGGCCAGCCACACUGGGACUGAGACACGGCCCAGACUCCUACGGGAGGCAGCAGUGGGGAAUUUUGGACAAUGGGGGCAACCCUGAUCCAGCCAUGCCGCGUGAGUGAAGAAGGCCUUCGGGUUGUAAAGCUCUUUCAGCCGGAACGAAACGGUUACGAUUAAUACCCGUAACUACUGACGGUACCGGAAGAAGAAGCACCGGCUAACUACGUGCCAGCAGCCGCGGUAAUACGUAGGGUGCGAGCGUUAAUCGGAAUUACUGGGCGUAAAGCGUGCGCAGGUGGUUUUGUAAGUCAGAUGUGAAAUCCCCGGGCUUAACCUGGGAACUGCGUUUGAAACUACAAGGCUAGAGUGUGGCAGAGGGGGGUGGAAUUCCGCGUGUAGCAGUGAAAUGCGUAGAGAUGUGGAGGAACACCGAUGGCGAAGGCAGCCCCCUGGGUCAACACUGACGCUCAGGCACGAAAGCAUGGGGAGCAAACAGGAUUAGAUACCCUGGUAGUCCAUGCCCUAAACGAUGUCAACUAGUUGUCGGGUCUUAACGGGCUUGGUAACGUAGCUAACGCGUGAAGUUGACCGCCUGGGGAGUACGAUCGCAAGAUUAAAACUCAAAGGAAUUGACGGGGACCCGCACAAGCGGUGGAUUAUGUGGAUUAAUUCGAUG
This 767-nucleotide ribosomal RNA is filed under the name uncultured bacterium. Its description in RNAcentral is "bacterial SSU rRNA". It matches the Rfam family "Bacterial small subunit ribosomal RNA", at positions 197 to 956 of the family's 1533-position model. The record is from RNAcentral.